This 201-nucleotide long non-coding RNA is filed under the name Lathyrus oleraceus (garden pea). RNAcentral's name for it is "Pisum sativum (pea) long non-coding RNA (PSAT_LNC038156)". The record is from RNAcentral. Lineage: Eukaryota; Viridiplantae; Streptophyta; Magnoliopsida; Fabales; Fabaceae.
AACCUACCAACUGUAGAGCUUACCCAUGGGGUUACAUUAAUCAGAGAUACCUGUCAUUUACCUGUUACUCUGAUCCGUCUGAGAGCACUUUGAACCUGUGAUCCUAAACAUGUCACUACAUUCAUACAUAUAUCAUUGCAUUUGCAUUCAUCAUCAUACAUUUCAUAUCAUUUUUCACCCAAAAAUAAAUACAAAAAAACU